CCUACGGGAGGCAGCAGUGGGGAAUAUUGGACAAUGGGCGAAAGCCUGAUCCAGCAAUGCCGCGUGAGUGAUGAAGGCCUUAGGGUUGUAAAGCUCUUUUACCCGGGAUGAUAAUGACAGUACCGGGAGAAUAAGCCCCGGCUAACUCCGUGCCAGCAGCCGCGGUAAUACGGAGGGGGCUAGCGUUGUUCGGAAUUACUGGGCGUAAAGCGCACGUAGGCGGUUAUUCAAGUCAGAGGUGAAAGCCUGGAGCUCAACUCCAGAACUGCCUUUGAAACUAGAUAACUAGAAUCAUGGAGAGGUGAGUGGAAUUCCGAGUGUAGAGGUGAAAUUCGUAGAUAUUCGGAAGAACACCAGUGGCGAAGGCGGCUCACUGGACAUGUAUUGACGCUGAGGUGCGAAAGCGUGGGGAGCAAACAGGGUAUUAGACUACCCGUGGUACGUCCACGACCGUAAACGAUGAUAACUAGUUGGUCGGGGUCUCUUAGAGUCGUUCGGUCGACGCGACGACGUACGACUAUUAAGUUACUCCGUCCGGUCGGGUAGGUACGGUCGACGAAGUAAGUUAAACGUAACGAAAGGUAAGUUAGUACGGUUCGUUGUAGUUACGUUCGACCGACGGCGACGACGGAGGGAGGAGG
RNAcentral lists this ribosomal RNA (641 nucleotides) under uncultured bacterium. RNAcentral describes it as "bacterial SSU rRNA". The stretch from base 1 to 535 matches the Rfam family "Bacterial small subunit ribosomal RNA", at positions 338 to 873 of the family's 1533-position model. The record is from RNAcentral.